Nycticebus coucang (slow loris) is the source of this 1995-nucleotide long non-coding RNA. RefSeq lists it as uncharacterized. The transcript is spliced from 2 exons. The record is from RefSeq and is a predicted model, not a curated record. NCBI's taxonomy places the organism in Eukaryota, Metazoa, Chordata, Mammalia, Primates, Lorisidae.
UCCAGCUGUGAGUGACUUCCGCUAAGGCAGCGAGUGUUUUCGGGGUCCGAGGUUUAGAGAGCACAAGCGAGUAGAGCAGAGUUUGCUAAGUUGAGGAUAACAGAGACAUGGACGUGGUGCUCUAUCUCAAUGAGACAGGGCUGUUAUAGAGUCCCAAAGUAAUGAUAAUUUGUUGAACGUUUAUUAUGAGCUACGUUCCGUGUUAGAUGUCUGUAGGCAUAAUCAUUUUUAGGAUUCUCUAAAGCGGACAUAAGAGGGAGAGGAUAGACAUUAUCAGCCGCUCAAAAGAGGGCUCUGAAUCGGAGAGAGCAUGCAAAUGACCCAAAGCUGCACACAACAGUUCACCAGUAACACAGCCAGGAUGUAGACACAGAUCCUCUGACUCUCUGUUCUUAAGAUCAGUUUCGAGAGGUGGAAGAAACCUAAGAGUUCAUCUGGUCAAAUCCCCUCACUUUACAGAAAUAACUCUUAACAAGCACUGUCUGGAAAUCUUCAGAGUGGGAAGAAAAAGAAAACAGCAAGUUAAUUGAAUUGGUGACACUUCAGAUGUCUCACAGAGGAGAAUAAGUUUCCAUUCAACAGAAGAUCAUCUGAUUUAAGCAGCACUGACAGUGUUGGUGGAUUUUAAACCUAAGAUAAAACUGAAAUAAGAGUAACAGAGUGAUAGUUUAGAAACAAAUUUAAAAUGUGCCAAAGCCCCAAACUGCCAAUAACAUGAUAGUUUUCUAAUAGUGAAAAUGUUUGUUUUGAGAUGCACAGCCAAGUUGCCAACGAUCCCUCUUCUAGAGUCCUUAUCAGUUCUGUAGGUGGCUAUGUACCAGCAUCCUCAGAAGCACAGUUUGUGGCCUCACCCCCAGCUGACCUCUGAGGAUGACUGAGCCUACCUAAGAAGAGCUGUCUGAGGGGACAGUCAGCUGGGGUGGGAGUGCAGCAAGACAGUCACGGUAGAUAGGGAUGCCAAUAAAAGGGAGUUCAUCUUGUUCCUAGCUGAUCUGUAGGAAGUAUGGCCCACCGUAGAGCUCCCAUGGGAAUACAAUGGAGUAUGGUAAAAGAAUUCUUAGGGCAGCUUGACAAGGAAUUUGAGAGAAGAGCAUGUUUGUAAUCAUGGAGGAAAGUGCCUAUUUCUGGUUUAGAUAUUUUAAAGUCAGGAGGCUUACUAGCAUAGGCUAUAUUGGUAGGGUGUUAAAGCACCAAAGCAAAGAAUACGUCUAUUAGAAUCAAUCAUUUCUGAAGCUCCAUGUGAAAGGAUACAGUCGUUGGUGUCAGGUGCAUAAUCUGUAAAGCAGCUCAUGCGGGGCCCAGAGGGAGCCCUACCUAGAAAAAAUAUGCAGCAGAACUGGAGGGAGACUAGCGACAGGACAACUGGACACCUCUCCAAGAAGCUGUUCUGUCCCUGCAGAGACCACCGCAUCAGAAGCCAUCAGGAAAGGACACAGCCAUUCCAAGCCAGGACGAUUUCAGAAAUGCCUUACGCCACGUGGUCCAGCAUAUGGAUUUUUUGUAAGAUGAUCUCUGAUUCUCUAAUCCCUCUUCCCAUUCCCCAACUUCAGAAAAAAUAGACCUAGAAAGAGAGAAGGAAGGAGUGGGAGAACCUGCCCUGUUUCACUCUCUCCCCUCCUGUUUUAAAUGGAGCAAGUCUGUUUUGAUCAUUAAAAGUGACCAGAAAAUUAUAGAAUCUUUCCAAGAUGUCAUCAAAGAAAAUAAGAGAGGUUUAAGAUAGCAUAGAGACAAUAAUUAGAAGAAAUGAAACAUCUAGGGUCAGUAAUGAUCUGCCUUAUAAACACUCCUGAACUGAUAAUAAUCCUGUUCUCAGAAGAGUUCAUCAAGGUUGAAAUGCUAGACAUAACUGAAGACUACUUGUUAAACCAAGACCUAAAAACCUUCCUUGUUGACUAGUCUCAAUGUUUGGCCCUCUACUCAUUAAAGAAUCAUUGUAUUGCUAUUAAAUAUCUAGGAAUUCCUGUUUAAAUAAAAUUUUAAAAUAUUUAACAAAUA